This 525-nucleotide ribosomal RNA is filed under the name Triticum aestivum (bread wheat). RNAcentral describes it as "partial small subunit ribosomal RNA". The record is from RNAcentral. Lineage: Eukaryota; Viridiplantae; Streptophyta; Magnoliopsida; Poales; Poaceae.
AUGAACAACCCUGGGGAGGCGGGGCGAUGCAACGAACCUCGGGUAUGGAUACCAUCGCUGGAGGGAGUAGCCAAAAUCAACGUGGAUGGCGCCUUGGCGCGCAACAGAAGAGGAGGAGCAGUUGCCGCGGUGUGCCGUGAUCAUACUGGGAUAUACCUCGGUUCAUCCGCGGUGGUGUUCAAUGGAACCAGAGACCCAACAAUUCUUGAAACCUAUGCUUGCAGGGAAGGCAUGGCUCUGGCGGAUGAUCUUCUCCAACAGAAAAUAAAGGUGGUGUCGGAUUGCUUGGGAGUAGUGAACGACAUCAACAAAGGCACGGGAGGAGUCCAUGCUGCCAUUGUUCAGGAAAUAUCAAAUCAUUGUAAUAGUUUUGAUUUAUGUUCCUUUGUUCAUGAGACUAGAAACCAUAACUUCGAGGCUCAUAAUCUCGCCAAAUUUUCUUGUAAUCUGAAUGUAGGUAGGCACGUAUGGCUGGUUAACCCCCAUGACCCAGCACGUGUGCCUAUGAACAUCCUUGAUCAAUAA